This is a long non-coding RNA of Chrysemys picta bellii (western painted turtle), 524 nucleotides long. RefSeq lists it as uncharacterized. The record is from RefSeq and is a predicted model, not a curated record. Lineage: Eukaryota; Metazoa; Chordata; Testudines; Emydidae.
AGGUCUGAUCCCAUUUUGAUGCUCUACAGAAAUCACCCUAAUUUUCUUCCUCUGAAGAUCUGACCGGUGUAAAUCCCCAGCUCCUGGAGUCAAGUGGAUGUGAUGAUUUCAGCCUUCAUUCUUAAAGAAAAAUUAAACUUGGCAAAAGAGACCCCCAUUGUACUGUAGUCAGGAAACCAACAGAUGGGAAAACUGAUGCAGAUGUGUGAAGUGACUUGCUACAGUACCAGCACUGGGACUAAAACUCAAGAGUUGCUGUUUCCCAGUCCCUCUUUGGGUUCAGCAGAAGAAGGGGGAGUUUUGCCAUUGACUUCAGGAUUUUACCCCAUCUCUCUCUCUGCCUACCUCACCAUUUACUUUUAAGCGUUUAAGACUCAGUUUCACCCACUCCUAAUUCUCCAUCAUUUCCUGUGCGGAAGCACAUAUGACAAAAGUUCUGAAAUACGAUUUGCAAAACAAUGAGGAUUCCCCCCCCCCCAAAAAAAGUCUAUAGACUUGAUGGAUGAACACAUUAUAAUGUCAAG